RNAcentral lists this unclassified non-coding RNA (378 nucleotides) under plant metagenome. RNAcentral describes it as "partial contains 5.8S ribosomal RNA, internal transcribed spacer 2, and large subunit ribosomal RNA". The stretch from base 1 to 105 matches the Rfam family "5.8S ribosomal RNA", at positions 50 to 154 of the family's 154-position model. The record is from RNAcentral.
GAAAUGCGAUAAGUAAUGUGAAUUGCAGAAUUCAGUGAAUCAUCGAAUCUUUGAACGCACCUUGCGCUCCUUGGUAUUCCUUGGAGCAUGCCUGUUUGAGUAUCAUGAAAUCUUCAAAGUAAAUCUUUUGUUAACUCAAUUGGUUUCUACUUUGGUAUUGGAGGUCUUUGCAGCUUCACCCCUGCUCCUCUUUGUUCAUUAGCUGGAUCUCAGUGUUAUGCUUGGUUCCACUCGGCGUGAUAAGUUAUCUAUCGCUGAGGACACUGUAAAAGGUGGCCAAGGUAAAUGCAGAUGAACCGCUUCUAAUAGUCCAUUGACUUGGACAAUACUUUUAUGAUCUGAUCUCAAAUCAGGUAGGACUACCCGCUGAACUUAAGC